UUUGCGCAUACGGCCGUCCCCUUGUCGCCCUUUACGGUAUAGAUAUGUAUAUGCACGUGAGUUUAAGUAACACUGCGGUGUGCAAAGUUUCAAAAUCGGUGCCCACAAGUACACACGGGACGAAACUUUCUUCAGGUAUACUAGACGUUCCUGUAUACUGUAAUAGUGAGAAAUAUACGUUAAGUAAUCGCCUAGUUAAUAUUGUAAAUUUAAGGAUUGCGCAGGUUUAAUAUCUCGGGUUAACAGGUACUUCGUACAUACCUAGUAUAUUAUCAGAUAGCGUUAUGUGAUCUACCGGUUCACCGGGUUUUACGCACAAUCGAUCGAAAUUUAUAGGAAAAUAGGUUUAAACCGGAAUGAUGGAUGACAACAAUAACCUGAUAAUAUAUAAUCGAUGUUGUGGAUAUUCGCAGUUGACGACCGAGAA
This is a non-coding RNA of Cinara cedri, 427 nucleotides long. NCBI's taxonomy places the organism in Eukaryota, Metazoa, Arthropoda, Insecta, Hemiptera, Aphididae. The record is from the annotation of a GenBank genome assembly.